Molecule: RNA transcript, 9524 nt
Organism: Acanthochromis polyacanthus (spiny chromis)
Lineage: Eukaryota; Metazoa; Chordata; Actinopteri; Pomacentridae
Gene name: protein prune homolog 2-like
Exons: 19
Source: RefSeq, a predicted model, not a curated record
AGUGCUUCUGGUCACCACAGCAGAAAGGUGUUGUGGUGUUCUUCGGUGCUGCGCUGUUUUGAUCAUAUUGCGGCAUUUUUUUCUCCCCUUCCGUGCGCAGAAAGCGCCAAUGUGCCGAAAACCAACACCGAAGCAAACUGGCAGUCAAAGGGUGUCUCCACGACGCACACGGAGCUCCACUAUUUAUCAUUCACCAGCUCCAGUCGGGGAGGCAGCGGUGGGUGGAGACGGAGGGGGCUUCCUACCGCAGGGAGCGCGGCUGAAUCACCGAGCGCGCCUCCGCCGGAUCUCCUCUCUCCCACCGUCACACCCACUGCUCGGUGUCGUGGGUUCACCCCGUGGAGAAGGGGAGGACCGACGGCUUCACACGGCAGCUUAGAGUGCUGCAGUGCGAGCACAGCGGGGGACGCGAAGGGGAGAGAAAACACAAAUCAGCUGCCUUCACUGGCGAAAACUUGGUGUAUGGAGACAUCCGCAGCAGCGUAGCGACGCAGGCCGACAUGGAAGAGUAUCUGCGGAGGGUCCAGAGCAGACUCGGGGCAGACGUAUCAGAGGGUCCUGUUCAUGCUGUUUUAGGUGGACCAGAGCCAGAUGUUGACACUGUUGCAGCAACGCUAUGCUUAGCGCUCCACCUCAGCCAGAAGGAACCGUCAGGCGGAGUGUGUGUGCCGGUGCUGUGUGGUCGGCGAUUCCACACUGUGUUGCCCGAGGAGACGGUGACGUAUCUGCAGAGGGUGAAAAUUUGCGAAAGCUUACUGCUGUGGAGGGAUGAUGUGGAUCUUGUGAAGCUUCAUCACACCGGAAAUCUGUCUCUCACGCUGUUAAGAGAAGGACUGCUGGACAGCUCUGAGUACCACACUUUGGAGUCCAGCAUCCUGCAAGUGGUCCAUCACGAUGGGCAGCAGGGCGCAGGGGAUGAUGGGGCAUUGUCCGUGGUGACAACAGUCACCGGAGAGAUUCUUCAAGAGGCAGCAGAGCACAUCAGAGCAGCGCUGGGGGAGAUCCUCGGAGAGGCCUUACGACUACAACGAGAUGCUGUGUGGAUCAAACAUGGCCGUCAGUCAUCACAGCUGGAGGAGCUCAUGAGUUCCUUGGAGCAAUGGAGUGAUGUCGCUGCUGGUCAGCACGAUGAGGACAAACUACAAGACUUGAUGCAGCUGCUGACUGUGGAGCUGAAGGAGUAUUCUGAUGGGGAGAUGACCAUAGCGCUCACUUCACUGACAACAGAUAAGGAGGACUGGCAUGGUUAUGUGGAUACGCUGAAAUCAUUCACUCAUAGCCAUGGAUACGACAGUCUUGUGGUUCUCUUGUCCAUCUGUGAUACAGUUCAUCAUCCCCGCCAGCAGGUGGUGGUCUACUCAAGCAACACAGAUAUCUUAAACCAGAUUUGCUCUGAGUUGGAAGAGUCCUCCAGCUGGUCUCUGUCUGGUGAACUGGAUCCUAGUGAGGGUCUUCAGGUCUACCACAUUCCUAUAAACACCUCGGCUUCCUCCGGUACUCCUCCGCUGCUGGAGGAAGAGAUCCGAGGCAUCCUUCAGGACUUCAUCGACCGGCGGAGUUCUGUAUUAGCUUGCCACCCGAGCAGUAGGACGUCUUCCACAGAGGGAGUAGCAGGCAGCGUGGAGUUCUCCCAGGGAUCAUCUGGUAUCAAUGACAUGGAUGGUUCUGACAUAGAGAGAACCGAUGGAGGCAAUGGAGAUGUGGUGGCAAUAGCAAGGGUGAUGGCAGAUGCUGAAGAGGACACAGGAGGUGUAGGAGUCAGUGCUGGUGGGGAACUAGUAAGCCCUGACAGUGGGAUGACAACCAUUCGUAGCAGCCGGUCCUCCAAGGAGAGUUCAGUGUUUCUCAGUGAUGACAGUCCAGUUGGUGAAGUUAUAGCAGGUGGAGGUCCAGCAGCAGGACCAGUAGGACUCUUCCUCAGAAACCCCUCUCCUCUGGGGUUGUCGUCUCUCUCUCCUCCUGUUCCACCUGAGAGGAGGAAACACCGCUCCAGCAGAAAUAGGAGUGACAACUUUGACCUGUUUAGUUUUGAUCCAUUACAUAGCAGCGAGCACUCCAUGCCAACAGGAGGGGAACUGCCACAUUCUGGAGACAGAGGAGAUGAAGGCGAAAGAAGAGCAGGGAGCUCGAGCCUAUCAGAGCUCGAAGAGUUAAGCCUGCUAGAUUUCUCUGCUUCAAACUCUUUAGGAGGGCUUGAAAGUGGAAAUUCCUUAAAUGAUCACCAUGGUCAAAUCCAUGGGAAUGAGAUGAUUGACACUGUAGUUCCACCAACCCCAGUCAACAGCUUGGUAGGUAGCCGCCCGCCCAGCAGUUGUGGGGUCAGGUUCUUCCCAGAAGAUGUAGUUGAAAGAAUCAAUGGCCUUCAACACAAAGACAGUGUCUCAUCAUCCUUGUCAGAGACAUGGGAUGAACUUGGCUUUGACACACAAGGAACAUUAUCUUCAAGUGAUAAUAUUGCCUGGAAUAGGCUCAAAGACUCUGAGAGCCCCCAGAAUAUUGUCGAAGAAGUUAGAGGCAAAGACUCUCUUAGGGACCCAACAGAAACAGAAAGGAGAGAGGAGAUCUUGAAGUUGGAGAAUGCCCACCAGAAGGGAAAGAGCCUUGAACCCCAGCUUAGUCUGAUAACUGAGCAAACUGAAUCAUAUGGCAACUGGAACCCAGAGUCUAUAGUAACAGAUCAGUGGAACCCUGUUUCUUUGGCUGAUCUACAACUAACACCACCAGAGGAUGAAGUAACUAGAAAAUGGAAAGCCAGUAUCAUUGCAGCAAAAGAAAGAACCUCAUCUUUGUCAAGUAAGAAAACAAUCCUAAACACUUUAACACCAGAUACAUCAAAAGAGGAAGACGAAGGGGUUCAAGGAAAAAAACGAGACCUACAGAUGGAGGUCUUGGAUUUCUGGACAUACUCAGCUCAGAAGGGAUUUCUCAAAUCUGAAAGCAGAACCACCACAUCUGUCCCUGAAUCACUAGAUAUGUGGAAUAUGACAAUCCGGGAUGACAGUCUGUCACCUCUCACAACCCCCGACAACUUGUCCGAAAACUCAGGUUCCUUGUGUGGUCUGAAUCCAAAUAUUAGGAGUGGCACAUCCGUUGAAAGUCCAGUGGGAUAUGGUGGAAUGGAGAUGUGGAACACCACCAUACAGGAAGACAGCUCUUCCACAGUAACAAGCCCAGAAGGACCUGAAAAUGGAAAGGACCUUAGUUACAUGGGAUCCUUGGAUGCCAGUGAUUCUCUUGAGACACAUGCGAGAAAACAAGUAGAAGACAAAGUUUUAGAGGAAGAAAGUGGCCCGUGUGCAGUAAUUAAUCAGACACUUGAUGAAGUUGGGUGGAGAAGUAAUGAACACAAUGUGCAAAUAGUCAUAGAGGCUGUAGAAGGUGGAGCAGAGGGUGAAGAAACAGGGGACGAUGACCUGCAGAGUGUUCAGAGCCAACAGUCCAUCUCACAGAAAUCGGCAUCUGAAAAAGAGACUUCUUCCUACCAAGGUGUUGACAUGUUGGACUUAACUGUCCAAGGCAUGGUCACUUCCACCUCUGAAUAUGACAACGUAGGAGCUGGUACAUGGAGCCUGACAUCUUCCCCUGACACUUAUGCUAGCCCCGUAGCAGACAUGGUAGAGUUAGAGGGGGAAUCCAGCCCUUUCAUGGCUGUGGCCAAACCUAUUCAGAUAGAUGAGAGGCAAAUUCAAUGUCAGGAGGCUGAUCCGAUGAGAAAAAUCGAAGACAGAGCAGUAACAGAUAGAGAGCAGCUGGCCAACCAAGUGUUCCUGUUUGAGGGAACUAGUGAUUUGGGUCACAUAACCAGGAGUUGGGGAAGUUCAGUUGAGAGUAAGUAUGACAACAAAAGCAGAGCAGAAUCAGAGGAGGUUGACUGGAUAGAGCAACAGAAUGAUCGUUCCCCAUUUGUUCUGGUGGACUCCUCCUACGUCACUCAGCAAAUUUCAGAAAGUCCAGAGACAGCUGCUGAUCAGUCAAUCAAAAUGGCCCACAAUCAAGAUGAGCCUGCUUUUGAAAGCCAAUGGAGUGCGAACAAAGAGAGCAAUGGAAAUGUGGAGGGCAAAAUAACACAAGCUGCAUCUCUGAGCUCUAGCCCAGGUGUUGAGGGAGACACACAAAACAGUCCUGACAGUCUUCACACAGGUAGUCAAGAUAAACAUGGGUCCAGUUCUGACGGAGAUUCAUUCUCAGGCUUAGAAAUGGAAUACAUUAUUGUGUCUGGCACAGUGAAAGAAACCAAGAGAGAGUGGCAUGAUAGACCUAAACAAGCUGUCAGGCAAUCAAAAGGAGCAAGAAAGAUGGAGACGUUUAGCAUGCUGUCCUAUGCAGCCUCAGUACUGCAAAGUCAGGCCCAAAAUGCACAUCGAGAUCACCAGGAGAACACACCGGAAAGCAGGCAAAGUGGUAGUGCAGAUAAAGAGCAAAAUCAAACCAUCUUACCCACUCAUCACCAAGCAAGUCUUGACAAUGUCACUGAGUGCGACGUGGUGCCAGAAAUAGUUAGAUCUAGCCAAUCAAUAAGUCGCUCUGAAGGUUUUCAUCACUCCGAUUCAAGACAAACAGGUUUCAGUCAGUCACAAGGAGAAGAAAGAAACUAUGACAACGAAUCCAGCUUUCCAGCCCGAAGUGUGUCUCCAUCGUUAAGAUAUCCAUCAGACCACUUCCUGAAAACCAGAGAGGAAGUUUAUGUCCAUUCACAGAUCUCAAUGGAAGAUUCAGAUGAGGGUGGUCACUCACCAUCUGCACCUCCACCGUGUCCUGCUUCCUUGGGUGACUUGCAAGUAUGGGGGGGUCAGCUAACGAGACAGGACACGUCUCAAACCACAUCUGAACAACAAUCCCCUGUACUCACCAACAGUUCGGUCUCCCACACCAGCUCUCUGAUUGGCACCCCAGUAAGUGAACUGUGUACUUCUACUGACAAAGGACUUGGAUUACCAUUUUCUGGAGAUUUAAUGGAAGAGGAGGAACAGGAAGAGGAAACUGAUCUGGAGCACAUAAGCCUCCCAACAUGGACUUCAGAAGUACAACAUGAGGCAGAAGAGAGACAGCAGUUGGGAUCUUCUGACCUGCUGAGUUUUACAGAGGAGCUGAUUGGAGGUUCUUCAUUUCAGCAAACAGAUUUACAAACAGGCCCAAACAGGGAGGAGUUUCUCCAAAACAGAGUGGAUUACUACGAUGGACAACCUAUAAGGACUGAUGAUCGUGAUAAGUGGUCUACUGAACAACAGAGUGGAGACUAUGAAGAACCUCACGAUAGUUAUUCACCUGUUUUGAGAGGACACCAAGAUGUGACAUCACAACCGUUGCCCCAGCCAACGAGUGAAAAUGCUGCAUACCAGUGGACAGCAAGUCAAAACGCAACUCAGGGUCAAACCCAGUAUGGCUACAACUACCAUCACAUUGACCAAAGAACUGAAAACCAAUGUACCUAUCCAGCCUGUGCAGAUACCAAAUCCAGCAGCCACCAGAAUACCACAGAUGUCUAUGCUGAAUUUACCACUAAUGCUGCAGCUGUACAGUACAGAUCUGAGCAGACUGAGAACUACUUUGAAGCUGGAAUUAACUCCCAGUACAGCCUGGAUGAAGCAGGUUUCCAGUGUCGGUAUGUAGCUGAAAGCCAGUAUGUAGCUGAAUCCACAUCUGAACUCCAGUACUCUCAGGACAAUGCUGCAGGCCAGAGUCAGUAUGAGUCCGACCAUGCUCAUUAUCAGAUUGACGGACAGCCAUUCUACCAAUCAGAUGUCCACUCUGAGAGAGAAGAUCAUGCACGGUAUGUGCCGGAGGGAUAUGUUCACUUCCUCCUAUCAAGACACUCCCAACAGGGAGCUGGUGCAGCAGAGAUGAUGAUGAAGAUGGCCUCCAGUGAGGAAGCAGCUGACGAGGAGGAUGACAGACAAGACCCACCCUCCUCAGCAGAUAUAUCAGGUGGAUCUAAUCAAAGGAGAAAGCUGGCAGCCCCACCAAUGAGCGUGUCGCUGGACCACAGUGAGGGGUCUCUACUCUCAGAGGAUGCCCUGGACACAGAGGACGAUGGUUUGGAUACUGGGGAUGACCUAGAUGUCAACAUCGAUGAGAUGGACACACCUGAUGAGGCUGACUCACUGGAAUUCAACAGACACGAGGACUCAGAGGAGUCCAAUCUGGGCGCUGGAGCAGCAUCAAGUGAUCCUAUCGCAGGCCACAGAGCAGCUGAGGAGAGCAGCGACAGUCGACUGUGGAGGAGUGUGGUGAUUGGAGAGCAGGAGCAUCGCAUUGAUAUGAAGUGCAUCGAGCCAUUCAAAAGAGUAAUUUCUCAUGGAGGUUAUUAUGCUGAACAGAAUGCCAUCAUCGUGUUUGCAGCAUGUUUCCUCCCCGACAGCGACUGCGACAAUUACAAUUAUGUGAUGGAAAACCUUUUUCUGUAUGUAAUAAGUACACUGGAACUAAUGGUGGCAGAAGAUUACAUGAUUGUUUACCUGAAUGGAGCCACUCCUCGCAGGAGGAUGCCUGGUUUUACCUGGAUGAAAAGGUGCUACCAAAUGAUAGACAGAAGACUAAAGAAAAACCUGAAGAUGUUCAUCAUCGUUCAUCCUUCCUGGUUCAUACGGACUUUGCUGGGAAUCACUAGACCCUUCAUAAGCUCCAAGUUCAGCAGUAAGAUCAAAUAUGUGAACAGUCUGCGGGAGCUUGGAGAAAUCAUCCCAAUGGAGUACGUCCACAUUCCACCCAGCAUCAUCAACAGAUCUACUCCAGAAAUAUACAUUCUUUAGAAAUGGUGAACAGAUCACAGAGCAAACUUUUUCCCAAGUGCCUAAAUUAGGCAUGUUUGUACAUCUCUCACUCUGCCCCAAGGUAUGACGAGGAGAGGGCUAUACACAAAUUUGCAUGCAUGAGGUAAAUCUCCUAACCUGCCUGUGUUGAUCAGUUGGAUAUGUAAAGGUCUCCCUGACAAUCCUUCAGUGCUGUUAUGAAUUUUCUCAUGCUGGGACUAACCUUUGACUAACCUUUGGCUGUCUUCGUAUCCAGCAUAAAAUGAGCCAGAUAUUGAUUUUCUUAUCUCUCUCAGUCUGCGAUGUGGCUUUUCCUGUACACUAGUUAAUUUUACCUCUCAUGUGAGACAUUUUUAGUCGAAAUUUAGUUGACCUACAGUUUAUACUCUGCAGCAGAUUCCACUAAUUACACAAUCACUCCCAAAGCUAGGCUGGUCUGGUCUUUGGAAGAAUUAAUGCACAGAGAGGAACAGACUCCAAAUAGGGAAACACCACUAACUUUCUCUGCUAGUAGGAAUCGUUGCAAAGGGUGUAAAGUUUCAGUAGACACAACAUAUUUCUGCAGUGUAAAUAAUAUGUUGCAUGGUAUUGUAGCUGCAGCUGACUAACUCCUAACUUCAGGUGAGUUAGCAUGUGGUUUUACAAAGAGGCAGCUGUGUGCCGCACAGUGUUGUGUGACACUACAAAAAUAUUGGAACAAUAAAAAUAGUUUCAAAUCCUACACUUGUAUAUAACAUUUAAUAUUAAGGUAUUAUAUUUUGGUUUGGUGAAGGUUAGGGAAGGAGAGCGUUCAUAGCAAAAAGAAAACAAUAUAAACCUAUGGUACAGGCAAACUGGAGUCUAAUGUCAAAGUUACACUUUGAAGUGUCGUGUCAAUAUUGCACUACUUUGUUACUGAGAAGAUAUUUGUGUGCAUGCUUACUGGUUGCACAUGAGAUAAAUGUGAACAUCAGAACAAAUGCUGUUGUUGACCAGUGAGGACAGUCUCUGUGGAACAGACAAGAUAUGAUCCAUGAGAGUUUAUGUAUGAUUGCUGCCUGGUUGGCUGUUUCAGUCCACAUCUACACUGUGGAUGCUGUCAAAGACUCAGCUCACCAGAUCUGUAAAACACCCACUUGUUGAUACUUUGGUGGAAAAAGAGUGGAGAUCAAACUGUGGAAAAAAAUAUACCAAACAAAUUCUAGAUUUGACCCAGUCCAUGACCUUACCUUUGAGUAUUUGAGUUGAAUGCUACUGAGCAUGUGUGGCGUCUAAAGAGUCUUUAAAUGUUUGAAGGACUAAUGUGGACUCUUGAGAAACAUUAUUGCACCCUAUGCAUUGCAAAGCAUUCCUUUGACCUUGAACUCUAUCAAUGCUUGUUUUCCUUUCCUUCUAUUCCUCCUUUUGUGGCAGUGUGGAUACAGGCUACUAAUCCCCAGCAAUUGCAUGUGCAUUGACAAUACUGUCGCUCUGUCACUUCUAAAUCUUUCUCUCUAACUUUUACUCUCUGCCUUCCAAACCAAUGCUAAACCAGACUGGAUACAGACUUGCAGGACACAGCAGCUAAGUAAAUGAGCUGACAAGGGGAACUCCGCUGUUUGACAACAUACUUGGCUGCUGCCUGUCUUCCUGCUGUGUUACGCUGUACUCGACCACAGCAUGUGUGAAUAUGAAGCCAGCCUGCAGCAUGACGUGUACCACACACAGGUGUUACACCAACAACUAGCAGUGAACUCAGAGAGGAAGAUGCUGUGGUACAAAACAUCAGGCAACGGCUUGUUCAUUGAGGAAAGUUCAAAUCUGAGGGUACUGAAUAUACAGUAAUGCUGUAUUUGCAGAGCAGAAACUAUCACUGUGCUAAAGGGAAGAUGCUUUACAUUGUAUUAGAAGACAUUACACAGCACUUAAUCAAGGGCCCCAUUUUGUUUUCUUGUACUUCUUCAAUUUGAACCAGGCGUUUAUUCAUAUGGAACUACAAGGUUUUCCCCUUACUGACUUUCAUGUGUUAAUAACAUUCAUAUGUUAAUAAUUUAGCCAUGGUAGUAAUAAUUGGAUUUUCUAAAGCCAUAGUGAGGCUCAUGACUCUUUCAACAUAUAACCAAAUACAGGUACAUGUAAACAGAAGUCGCAUUACAUCCCUUCUGUUCACAUAUCAAUAUUUGUGUUCCCUGGAUGAUAGGGGUGUUAUUCUGUAGCCCUGUCAAUAGAUUGUAAUGUUAAGCGAUUCUCUAUUUAGACUGUAAUUUUAGCUAAUCAAGUUUACAGAAAUAUAAUCCACACACAAAAACUUUGCACUGUAUAAGUUUGUACUGGCAUGAGGCAAAAUGGUCAAGCUGGUUUGUGAAUCAUUUAUUAAAGUGUAGGUGGCUCCCAUCACAGUGGGGUUUUACAUUGUGUCGCUUCCUUGUCCAUCACCUCAGUCACUCCUUAAAGACAUGAGUAGGCUGAUCUGUUAACAUCACAUUAAGUAGCAAAAAAGCAGUUAUCAUAGCUGCAGUAAUGUGUUGCAUGCUUUCAGUUGUUACAACUGGAGAAAAUUCUGACUUAAUGCCACAAUAAAGUUUGUCCAGUUCUACACAUGUAUGUGCAAGAGACGGACAAAGAUGACCUGUUGGGAUGUGGUGAAGAAGUUCUUCAUGUGCAUUGAUGGUGAGAGAGAAAAUGUACACUGUGCAGGUUGGGACAUGUCUACAUUUCUGUGUGGUUUCUUAAAUUUGUAUGUUUGUGUCUUGCACGGUGUUCAUUUGACGUAUAAUAUGUAACAUGAUUUACUUCAUUAAAGAUGUGUUCCUCCAA